RNAcentral lists this long non-coding RNA (316 nucleotides) under Gallus gallus (chicken). Lineage: Eukaryota; Metazoa; Chordata; Aves; Galliformes; Phasianidae. The record is from RNAcentral.
CUCAAGUUCUUUCCUAUAUCGCUUGAUGUUCUUUACCAUCAAAUCUUUUCUGGUCAGUUCGUAGUGAUUGGGGAAAUGGUUGACAAUUUGGUCAUCUGAAAGGCGGUAACCAGUUUCCACACUGAAAACAUUUCUGAUUGUUUGUACACUCAUCCAAUAAAAAUUCCAGUCCUCAUUUUCUGCCACCUGAAUCCAGCCUCUUUUUUCAAAGUUGUUUAUUAGAACUGAUUUUUCUAUGUCCGUUACCCACUUCACUUUUCCUGCCAUUAUCCCAAAGCAGAAUCAACCUGCGCCGGCCGCGCCCGGCUCCAUCACC